CCGGACCCCACUGCUAUNGGGAUAGGANNNGACNUGCUAGUCGAGUGGNUCAGCCAAUACGAGCCACGGCAUGCAGCUCAGUAACACGUGGCUAAUCUGCCCUUAGGACGAGAACAACCCCGGGAAACUGGGGCUAACUCUCGAUAGGCGAAGAACUCUGGAAUGAGUCUUCACCUAAAUAGUUCGGCGUUAUGCUCGUUGGACCGCCAAAGGAUGAGGCCGCGACCGAUCAGGUUGUUGGUGAGGUAAUGGCUCACCAAGCCUUUUACCGGUGCGGGCCGUGAGAGCGGGAGCCCGGAGAUGGGCACUGAGACAAGGGCCCAGGCCCUACGGGGCGCAGCAGUCGCGAAAACUUUGCAAUACACGAAAGUGUGACAGGGCUAUCCCGAGUGCCAUCCGCUGAGGAAGGCUUUUACCAGUCUAGAAAGCUGGGGGAAUAAGGAGAGGGCAAGUCUGGUGUCAGCCGCCGCGGUAAUACCAGCUCUCCGAGUGGUGUGGAUGUUUAUUGGGCCUAAAGCAUCCGUAGCUGGCUAAGUUAGUCCCUUGUUAAAUCCACCGAAUUAAUCGUUGGAUCGCGGGGGAUACUGCUUGGCUAGGGGACGAGAGAGGCAGACGGUAUUUUCGGGGUAGGGGUGAAAUCCUAUAAUCCCGGGAGGACCACCAGUGGCGAAGGCUGUCUGCUAGAACGCGCCCGACGGUGAGGGAUGAAAGCUGGGGGAGCGAACCGGAUUAGAUACCCGGGUAGUCCCAGCUGUAAACGAUGCAGGCUAGGUGUUUGGACGGCCACGUGCCGUUCUAGUGCCGCAGGGAAGCUGUUAAGCCUGCCGCCUGGGGAGUACGAUCGCAAGAUUGAAACUUAAAGGAAUUGGCGGG
RNAcentral lists this ribosomal RNA (873 nucleotides) under uncultured archaeon. RNAcentral describes it as "bacterial SSU rRNA". It matches the Rfam family "Archaeal small subunit ribosomal RNA", at positions 17 to 872 of the family's 1478-position model. The record is from RNAcentral.